UGACGAGCUGUACUAUCCUGGCAAUCUAAAGGAGACUUAUGAUGUCAUAUUUCAGGACAUAGAAAGCCCUGAUGGGAGGUCCCUUUCUAGCACUGCAGCAUCUUCCACGCUUGGCGACGCAGGAGGUUUGAAGGGCAAGCAUAGCUGGAAGCAAAAGUCCAUUGUUACAGUUGCAUUGACAUUACUAACAAGUUCCCAGGCAAUACUGAUUGUGUGGUCAAAAAGAGCUGGAAAGUAUGAGUAUAGUGUCACAACAGCAAAUU
Lolium rigidum is the source of this 263-nucleotide long non-coding RNA. RefSeq lists it as uncharacterized. The transcript is spliced from 3 exons. The record is from RefSeq and is a predicted model, not a curated record. NCBI's taxonomy places the organism in Eukaryota, Viridiplantae, Streptophyta, Magnoliopsida, Poales, Poaceae.